RNAcentral lists this ribosomal RNA (484 nucleotides) under uncultured bacterium. RNAcentral describes it as "partial 16S ribosomal RNA". It matches the Rfam family "Bacterial small subunit ribosomal RNA", at positions 30 to 507 of the family's 1533-position model. The record is from RNAcentral.
AUUGAACGCUGGCGGCAGGCCUAACACAUGCAAGUCGAGCGGAUGAAGGGAGCUUGCUCCUGGAUUCAGCGGCGGACGGGUGAGUAAUGCCUAGGAAUCUGCCUGGUAGUGGGGGAUAACGUCCGGAAACGGGCGCUAAUACCGCAUACGUCCUGAGGGAGAAAGGGGGGGAUCUUCGGACCUCACGCUAUCAGCUGAGCCUAGGUCGGAUUAGCUAGUUGGUGGGGUAAAGGCCUACCAAGGCGACGAUCCGUAACUGGUCUGAGAGGAUGAUCAGUCACACUGGAACUGAGACACGGUCCAGACUCCUACGGGAGGCAGCAGUGGGGAAUAUUGGACAAUGGGCGAAAGCCUGAUCCAGCCACGCCGCGUGUGUGAAGAAGGUCUUCGGAUUGUAAAGCACUUUAAGUUGGGAGGAAGGGAAGUAAGUUAAUACCUUGCUGUUUUGACGUUACCAACAGAAUAAGCACCGGCUAACUUCGUG